GAUGAACGCUGGCGGCGUGCCUAAUACAUGCAAGUCGAGCGAACAGAUGAGGAGCUUGCUCCUCUGACGUUAGCGGCGGACGGGUGAGUAACACGUGGAUAACCUACCUAUAAGACUGGGAUAACUUCGGGAAACCGGAGCUAAUACCGGAUAAUAUAUUGAACCGCAUGGUUCAAUAGUGAAAGACGGUUUUGCUGUCACUUAUAGAUGGAUCCGCGCCGCAUUAGCUAGUUGGUAAGGUAACGGCUUACCAAGGCAACGAUGCGUAGCCGACCUGAGAGGGUGAUCGGCCACACUGGAACUGAGACACGGUCCAGACUCCUACGGGAGGCAGCAGUAGGGAAUCUUCCGCAAUGGGCGAAAGCCUGACGGAGCAACGCCGCGUGAGUGAUGAAGGUCUUCGGAUCGUAAAACUCUGUUAUUAGGGAAGAACAAACGUGUAAGUAACUAUGCACGUCUUGACGGUACCUAAUCAGAAAGCCAAGGCUAACUACGUG
RNAcentral lists this ribosomal RNA (497 nucleotides) under uncultured bacterium. RNAcentral describes it as "partial 16S ribosomal RNA". It matches the Rfam family "Bacterial small subunit ribosomal RNA", at positions 28 to 507 of the family's 1533-position model. The record is from RNAcentral.